Molecule: ribosomal RNA, 568 nt
Filed under: uncultured bacterium
Lineage: Bacteria
Description: bacterial SSU rRNA
Rfam family: Bacterial small subunit ribosomal RNA
Source: RNAcentral
ACGGGUGAGUAACGCGUGGGUAACCUGCCUUAUACAGGGGGAUAACAGUUGGAAACGACUGCUAAUACCGCAUAAGCGCACAGCUUCGCAUGGAGCCGUGUGAAAAGAUUUAUCGGUAUAAGAUGGACCCGCGUCUGAUUAGCUAGUUGGUGAGGUAACGGCUCACCAAGGCGACGAUCAGUAGCCGGCUUGAGAGAGUGAACGGCCACAUUGGGACUGAGACACGGCCCAAACUCCUACGGGAGGCAGCAGUGGGGAAUAUUGCACAAUGGGGGAAACCCUGAUGCAGCGACGCCGCGUGAGUGAAGAAGUAUUUCGGUAUGUAAAGCUCUAUCAGCAGGGACGAUAAUGACGGUACCUGACUAAGAAGCCCUGGCUAACUACGUGCCAGCAGCCGCGGUAAUACGUAGGGGGCAAGCGUUAUCCGGAUUUACUGGGUGUAAAGGGAGCGUAGACGGUGAUGUAAGUCAGAUGUGAAAGCCCGGGGCUCAACCCUGGGACUGCAUUUGAAACUAUGUCACUAGAGUGCAGGAGAGGUAAGUGGAAUUCCUAGUGUAGCGGUGAAAUG